This 255-nucleotide ribosomal RNA is filed under the name uncultured bacterium. RNAcentral describes it as "partial 16S ribosomal RNA". It matches the Rfam family "Bacterial small subunit ribosomal RNA", at positions 524 to 776 of the family's 1533-position model. The record is from RNAcentral.
UACGUAGGGUGCGAGCGUUUAAUCGGAAUUACUGGGCGUAAAGCGUGCGCAGGCGGUUCGUUGUGUCGGCGGUGAAAGCCCCGGGCUUAACCUGGGAAUGGCCGUUGAAACUGGCGAACUGGAGUGUGGCAGAGGGGGGUGGAAUUCCGCGUGUAGCAGUGAAAUGCGUAGAGAUGCGGAGGAACACCGAUGGCGAAGGCAGCCCCCCUGGGCUAACACUGACGCUCAGGCACGAAAGCGUGGGGAGCAAACAGG